GACGAACGCUGGCGGCGUGGAUUAGGCAUGCAAGUCGAACGGUAUCAUCCUUUCGGGGGUGAGAGAGUGGCGAACUGGUGAGUAACACGUAGGUUAUCUACCCUCAAGACGGGGACAACCCAGGGAAACUUGGACUAAUACCGGAUGUGAGCAACUUUUAGUUGUUUGAAAGGUGGCGUAAGCUGUCGCUUGGGGAUGAGCCUGCGUCCUAUUAGUUAGUUGGUGAGGUAACGGCUCACCUAGGCAAUGAUAGGUAGGCGGCCUUAACGGGUGGUCGCCCACACUGGGAUUGAGAUACGGCCCAGACUCCUACGGGAGGCAGCAGUCGAGAAUAGUCUACAAUGGUCGGAAGACUGAUAGUGCGACGCCGCGUGAACGAUGAAUCCCUUCGGGGUUAAAGUUCUUUUAUAUGUGAGCAGUGCUUCUUAUAUUAACAGUAUGGGGAAGAGAUAUUAGCAUAUGAAUAAGCAACGGCUAACUCCGUGCCAGCAGCCGCGGUAA
This 501-nucleotide ribosomal RNA is filed under the name uncultured bacterium. RNAcentral's name for it is "bacterial SSU rRNA". It matches the Rfam family "Bacterial small subunit ribosomal RNA", at positions 28 to 523 of the family's 1533-position model. The record is from RNAcentral.